AGAGUUUGAUCCUGGCUCAGAGCGAACGCUGGCGGCAGGCUUAACACAUGCAAGUCGAGCGGGCGUAGCAAUACGUCAGCGGCAGACGGGUGAGUAACGCGUGGGAACGUACCUUUUGGUUCGGAACAACACAGGGAAACUUGUGCUAAUACCGGAUAAGCCCUUACGGGGAAAGAUUUAUCGCCGAAAGAUCGGCCCGCGUCUGAUUAGCUAGUUGGUGAGGUAAUGGCUCACCAAGGCGACGAUCAGUAGCUGGUCUGAGAGGAUGAUCAGCCACAUUGGGACUGAGACACGGCCCAAACUCCUACGGGAGGCAGCAGUGGGGAAUAUUGGACAAUGGGCGCAAGCCUGAUCCAGCCAUGCCGCGUGAGUGAUGAAGGCCCUAGGGUUGUAAAGCUCUUUUGUGCGGGAAGAUAAUGACGGUACCGCAAGAAUAAGCCCCGGCUAACUUCGUGCCAGCAGCCGCGGUAAUACGAAGGGGGCUAGCGUUGCUCGGAAUCACUGGGCGUAAAGGGUGCGUAGGCGGGUCUUUAAGUCAGGGGUGAAAUCCUGGAGC
RNAcentral lists this ribosomal RNA (556 nucleotides) under uncultured bacterium. RNAcentral describes it as "bacterial SSU rRNA". It matches the Rfam family "Bacterial small subunit ribosomal RNA", at positions 8 to 608 of the family's 1533-position model. The record is from RNAcentral.